GCUUAACCACUUUUUGAUAAACGAAAAAAAAAUAACAAAAAAAACAGAAAAUCAUUAAAUCAUGGAUAACCGUAAGUAUUUUUCGAGAAAGCCUCAGUUCACUAAAGAAAAUAUAAUUCCCAACAUUAAGAGUUAUUCAGCUUAUAAUCACCAAUAAAAAAGGGAUAAACUACAAGGAAUUUUCUUCUCGUGAAUAAUUAAUUCAUAAGCAAAUUGUAAAUCAACGUCUUCAGAACAAAGCAAAAAUUUUAAAAGCUAAAAAUGUUUGUCAAAAUAUUCCUAUCACAGACAAAUCCAAGUUCAAUUCAAAAAUAAUGAAAAAGUCGUUGAGAUUUCAGGAUUAUAAGUAUGUGUGAAGGGAAAGGUAAAGAACAGUCCAUGGGCGUAUGACGCAGAUAUAUAGAUUAUGUUUGAAGGUAUGUUUUCGAUAUAGCAUUUAAUAUUUGUCAAUUUACAAACUAUACAAUAUUGAGAAAAGAAUUUUUAAUUUAGUUAUAUACCCUAAUAGCCUUAAACGUAUUCUGUCUAUAACUACAGUCAAAAAAUAAAAACACCGGAGUUUCGAUAUAUAUAUUAUAAUUUCCUUUAAGCGUUUAUAAAUUCAACAAAACAAACGAAUAGGUAGCAAAAAAAAGAUUGUAUUUAGCAUUUGGACGCCUCACAUUAAGCAGAUGUUUGAAUUUCUUUUUACGCAAGUACCUCUUGAAUGUUUCUACUGAAGCUCGAAUAACUAUUUAUUUAAAGGUAGUUAAGGAAAACCAUCACAAAAGAUGCAUUUUUUCCAUUGUCAAGUUUGAAAACCACGUAUGAUGAGAAGAAAUGAAUCGAGAUUAAUUAUUUGCAACAGCUGUGUUUUAUUUGACAUUAUCACCGCUGUAACAAGGAGAUGAAGUAAAAGUAAUAUGCUAAAAAGCCAAAUUGAUAUAUAUGCUCGAGAGUUUUAUGUUGAUAAAAAGCAACUUUAUCAUUCCUUUGAAAGAAGGAUACGUACAUACAUAGUAACAAUCUAAAAAAGGAAAAAUUCUAGGAACUUAAAAACCUUGGUCUUGUAACCAUUCACGAACUGUGACUAUGUGAUUUCCCUUUAGGACAACUUGAUUUGUUAACUUGUUUACAUAAACAUCUUUCGGUGACAUUUUAAGUGUGGAAAUGAGCCUGAGCCGCAAAGCCUAUUGAUAAAAUAUUGUUAGAAAAAAAAAAGAGAACGAAUAAAAGAAGUUAAAAUAAACUUGGGUUGGCCGUUAAAGCAAAAAGUUGAUAGAACAAUUUCCGCAGCAUAGUGACUUUACUUGUACUUUCUUUAGCCAAGAGAUUACUGCUGACGGAAUAUGUAUACUUACAUUAGAAUCACCAUGGAUUUUACGAAUUAAAGUCAGAAUUUUCGUUCCUCGUUGUUUGUAGUCUAGAUAGACUGGGAGAUUUUUUGAAGGUGUACGUGAAACAUGAAACCGAAGUGAUUCGGAUGCAAUUGUUGAGUUGAACCUCAAAUUUGAUAGCACUGGCUUUAAGGAUGAUCGCAUUUGGUUCAACAAAACUUUCUACGAGUUGCAGGAAUUUAUGGUGGAUGUGUAAAAGAAGUCGUCGUGCAUUCGCGAAUAAAGAGGAUUUCUAUCAUAACCUCCAAAAAUUUGUAAGUUUUAAACAACUGUCAAACAGGAGCCUAAGAUUAAGUGAUUCACUAAGAACAAUUAAAAUAAAAUAAAACGCUCUUGUUUUAAAUAAAUUUAAUCGGUGCUUGAACCUCACGCGUGUUUAAACUCGAAAGUAUUUUUACGGCACGGAAUAUACUUCAGCGAAGGUGCA
Molecule: non-coding RNA, 1803 nt
Organism: Schizosaccharomyces pombe (fission yeast)
Lineage: Eukaryota; Fungi; Ascomycota; Schizosaccharomycetes; Schizosaccharomycetales; Schizosaccharomycetaceae
Source: the annotation of a GenBank genome assembly